AGUUCCAACCCUCGUACGGUGAAACCGCGAAUGGCUCAUUAAAUCAGUCGAGGUUCCUUAGAUGAUCCGAAUCCUACUUGGAUAACUGUGGUAAUUCUAGAGCUAAUACAUGCGGCCAAGCUCCGACCCUCGCGGGGAAGAGCGCUUUUAUUAGUUCAAAACCAGUCGGGGUUUCGGCUCCGUCCUUUGGUGACUCUGGAUAACUUUGUGCCGAUCGCAUGGCCUCGAGCCGGCGACGCAUCUUUCAAAUGUCUGCCCUAUCAAAUGACGAUGGUACGUGAUAGGCCUACCAUGUUUACUACGGGUAGCGGGGAAUCAGGGUUCGAUUCCGGAGAGGGAGCAU
This 343-nucleotide ribosomal RNA is filed under the name Plectostoma cookei. RNAcentral describes it as "SSU rRNA". It matches the Rfam family "Eukaryotic small subunit ribosomal RNA", at positions 62 to 397 of the family's 1831-position model. The record is from RNAcentral. Lineage: Eukaryota; Metazoa; Mollusca; Gastropoda; Architaenioglossa; Diplommatinidae.